This 76-nucleotide transfer RNA is filed under the name Yersinia enterocolitica. RNAcentral describes it as "tRNA-Ala". It matches the Rfam family "tRNA". Rfam says of the family: Transfer RNA (tRNA) molecules are approximately 80 nucleotides in length. Their secondary structure includes four short double-helical elements and three loops (D, anti-codon, and T loops). Lineage: Bacteria; Pseudomonadati; Pseudomonadota; Gammaproteobacteria; Enterobacterales; Yersiniaceae. The record is from RNAcentral.
GGGCUAUAGCUCAGCUGGGAGAGCGCCUGCCUUGCACGCAGGAGGUCAGCGGUUCGAUCCCGCUUAGCUCCACCAU